UCUGGGUAUAGCUUAACAGCAAAGCAUCUCCUUUACACCGAGAUAAUACUCGUGCAAAUCGGGUUACCUUGAA
Molecule: transfer RNA, 73 nt
Filed under: Halichoeres melanurus (tail-spot wrasse)
Lineage: Eukaryota; Metazoa; Chordata; Actinopteri; Labriformes; Labridae
Description: tRNA-Val
Rfam family: tRNA
About the family: Transfer RNA (tRNA) molecules are approximately 80 nucleotides in length. Their secondary structure includes four short double-helical elements and three loops (D, anti-codon, and T loops).
Source: RNAcentral